GGCUUUGUGCAGUGGCAGUGUUGUAAUUAAUGAGGUUCUUCCAAGAUGUGAUUAUUGCUAAUUAAAAACAUUCCCCAAUACCCUGCUGUAAUGACUUGCAUUAGAGUGGCACUGGCAAUUUUGACAGUAUCUACAGAGAU
Molecule: small nuclear RNA, 140 nt
Organism: Cebus imitator (Panamanian white-faced capuchin)
Lineage: Eukaryota; Metazoa; Chordata; Mammalia; Primates; Cebidae
Gene: U4
Rfam family: U4 spliceosomal RNA
About the family: U4 small nuclear RNA (U4 snRNA) is a component of the major U2-dependent spliceosome. The structure of U4 snRNA from yeast and human has been reported.
Source: Ensembl